UACGACAAUGUCUCGGAAAGUGACUCAGUGGAGUAGACUUGUCCACGACAAUGCGGAGUACCUGCAGCAGAGCAGAAAGCUCCUAUGAAGCUUUACUGUACCUUGACUUGAAAUUAGACUAUACUUGCGCAAUAUAGGUGGGAUGAGUUGAAAAUACUCUUAGUCUUCAGCGAGAUACCACCUUCGCAACGAUAGAUUUC
This 200-nucleotide ribosomal RNA is filed under the name uncultured Dinobryon. RNAcentral's name for it is "partial Bacterial large subunit ribosomal RNA". It matches the Rfam family "Bacterial large subunit ribosomal RNA", at positions 2009 to 2222 of the family's 2925-position model. The record is from RNAcentral. Lineage: Eukaryota; Chrysophyceae; Chromulinales.